GGUAGUCCACGCUGUAAACGAUGGGCACUAGGUGUCGGAGGUGUCGACUCCUCCGGUGCCGUAGCUAACGCAUUAAGUGCCCCGCCUGGGGAGUACGGCCGCAAGGCUAAAACUCAAAGGAAUUGACGGGGACCCGCACAAGCAGCGGAGCAUGUGGUUCAAUUCGACGCAACGCGAAGAACCUUACCUGGGCUUGACAUGUAGGUGACAGCCGUGGAAACACGGCCUCCCUUCGGGGGCACCUUCACAGGUGGUGCAUGGCUGUCGUCAGCUCGUGCCGUGAGGUGUUGGGUUAAG
Molecule: ribosomal RNA, 297 nt
Filed under: uncultured bacterium
Lineage: Bacteria
Description: partial 16S ribosomal RNA
Rfam family: Bacterial small subunit ribosomal RNA
Source: RNAcentral